ACGAACGCUGGCGGCGUGCUUAACACAUGCAAGUCGAACGGAAAGGCCUGCUUUCCCUUGUGGAUUGCGGGUACUCGAGUGGCGAACGGGUGAGUAACACGUGAGUGAUCUGCCCCCAACUUGGGUAUAAGCCUGGGAAACUGGGUCUAAUUCCCGAUAGGACUGCAGGGUGGUGCCUGUGGUGGAAAACGAUUUUCUAGUGGUUGGGGAUGAGCUCGCGGCCUAUCAGCUUGUUGGUGGGGUAAUGGCCUACCAAGGCGGCGACGGGUAGCCGGCCUGAGAGGGUGGACGGCCACAUUGGGACUGAGAUACGGCCCAGACUCCUACGGGAGGCAGCAGUGGGGAAUAUUGCACAAUGGGCGGAAGCCUGAUGCAGCGACGCCGCGUGGGGGAUGACGGCCUUCGGGUUGUAAACUCCUUUCGGCCGCGAGGAAGCCACCUGGUUGGAAGGGUGGUGACGGUAGUGGUAGAAGAAGCACCGGCUAACUACGUG
Molecule: ribosomal RNA, 493 nt
Filed under: uncultured bacterium
Lineage: Bacteria
Description: partial 16S ribosomal RNA
Rfam family: Bacterial small subunit ribosomal RNA
Source: RNAcentral